CCUACGGAGAGCAGCAGUCGAGAAUCAUUCACAAUGGGGGAAACCCUGAUGCUGCGACGCCGCGUGGGUGAAUGAAUGUCUUCGGAUUGUAAACCCCUGUCAUGUGGAAGCAAAUUAAAAAGAUAGUACCACAAGACGCAGAGACCUCUAACUCUGUGCCAGCAGCCGCGGGAAUACAGAGGUCUCAAUCGUUGUUCGUAAUCACUGGGCGUAAAGCGUGCGUAGGCUGUUUCGUAAGUCGUAUGUGAAAGGCUCGGGCUCAACCCGCGGACGGCAGCUGAUACUGCGAGACUAGAGUAAUGGAGGGGGAAGCGGAAUUCCCGGUGUAGCAGUGAAAUGCGUAGAUA
RNAcentral lists this ribosomal RNA (347 nucleotides) under uncultured bacterium. RNAcentral describes it as "partial 16S ribosomal RNA". It matches the Rfam family "Bacterial small subunit ribosomal RNA", at positions 338 to 696 of the family's 1533-position model. The record is from RNAcentral.